Molecule: transfer RNA, 69 nt
Filed under: Alosa alosa (allis shad)
Lineage: Eukaryota; Metazoa; Chordata; Actinopteri; Clupeiformes; Clupeidae
Description: tRNA-Gly
Rfam family: tRNA
About the family: Transfer RNA (tRNA) molecules are approximately 80 nucleotides in length. Their secondary structure includes four short double-helical elements and three loops (D, anti-codon, and T loops). Further hydrogen bonds mediate the characteristic L-shaped molecular structure. tRNAs have two regions of fundamental functional importance: the anti-codon, which is responsible for specific mRNA codon recognition, and the 3' end, to which the tRNAs corresponding amino acid is attached (by aminoacyl-tRNA synthetases). tRNAs cope with the degeneracy of the genetic code in two manners: having more than one tRNA (with a specific anti-codon) for a particular amino acid; and 'wobble' base-pairing, i.e. permitting non-standard base-pairing at the 3rd anti-codon position.
Source: RNAcentral
GGCUUUUAGCUCAGUGGUUAGAGUGUUCGUCUCCCAUGCCAAAGUGGUGGGUUCGAGGCCCGUGAGCCG